GCAAAGCUGCCAAUUGAAUCUGAAUUACAUGUUGCUACAGUAUAGACAUUCAGCAGCCUGGAUUUUUUGCCCUAGUGCAGUAACCCUCCCUUCUCUUUAAUUAGCUGAUAAAGUCAGAAUUUCUUUAACAAAGUACUCAUUAAACAUUGCCUUGUUACAUUACUUUAAAAUGCAAUUAAAAGUUUUAAGAGUGUCGUGGAGUUUGUGUGCCAUUGUCAGCACCCAUGUCACUCACUAUCGGUUUCCACCCACUCACACAGAUCAGAGGCCUCCUGUUAAAUAUAGAUGGCACUUCAUAGCAUUUCUAUAUAGACUAGGCAUAAAACAAUAUCCUGAUGAGGAUGACCUGACUGCACCUUAUAUUUCUGGAAGUAAGACAGGAAUGGGAGGGCAUUCUAGAGGAAGGAGAAGCCCAGUGUAUUUGUUGUCCUUCCACCACUGCAGUUCUCUCUCUAUGGCCCUUUGCGUGGGAGUAGCUGCACAUUGCUGGUAAGUGUGCUGCUUCCAAGUCUUCCCAGACAAAGCUGCAUGGGAACACCACAUAGUAAUUCUAUUAUGCAUCUGAAACAAGAGAGACCAGACAUCGCGUUAAAAGAGAAUGAAAAAUAUCCAAUGCCUGAAUGCUGCCUGGGCCUUCACCCAGUCCUCACACUCUCGUUGGCUGCUGUUAUCAUGAAUGGCACUAAUCAGUUCCAGGAAAUCUCUACAACAAGCAUUAUGUCACAUAUGGUUACAUCAUUCCCUCUAACCUCUAGGGCUUCCUGUUGACAUCUUUGGAGCUCUUCUACGACCAAAUGGUACUAGAAGAAAUGCCAAGCUGUAUUUUUAUCCACUUCUGUCUGCCAGAAGGAAUUCAAAUGUUUCCCUUUUGCAGGUUUCACCUGCUGGGUCUCAUCUUUGCUUCUUAAAAUGAGCAAACCUCAGUGGACCUUCUCAGGGUCUCUCCAGAUGUUUACAUAAAGGAUGGGAAUGCUGCUGUUGACUUAUUUUCUACAAUCAAAACAGAAAGAGGGGUAGGAGGGAAAGCCUACACUCUGGCUUUUCCUCUGCAGCGUUCUUUAUCUCUGAUUCAGCAUCUGCACUAUGAAAUUCGCCAUGAAUGAAUGAACAUUCAGAUGUCUUCACUUCCAGCAGAGAGGACACAACUCUCAGGCUGAAUUAGGCUGUUUGGAGAGGUUUACCAAAAUCUCCAUGAGUUACAGACACAAGACUGCUCUCUCACACUGGCCUGAACUGAGCACUUGGUGGGUAGUAACAUACAAACUCUGACCACAUCACCGGUGUGAAAUUGCUGAUUAACCUUUUGACUCGGACAAUUGGGACUUCUCUCAACACCAACUGGUAAUGCAGAAGACCAUUAGUAGUUAAUAUUGGGACAUCCCAGCUCCAGAUGUCAAAAGACAGGCUGUCUCUGACAGAAGAAUACAGUUCAUCAAAAGUGUCUGCAGGUUGUCAAACUCGUUGUAGAUGUUGGAACUCAAUUUAUCCAGAAACUGGGGAGGACCUGAACUGGCUCAAGCCGUUCUGAAAGAGAGAAGAAGCAGCACAACCAUCCUCUAACAAAAAUGCCUAGGCGGCAUUAGCCACAGCGGCUGACAACGCGGCUGAACGUAUGCGGACAAGCUGCUCUCCCCGAGCAGGCGGGCUCUGCCGACACCUGUGAAGUGAAAACCUGUCUGCAUCGCAGGUGAGAAAGCAAAUAACGCAGGGUGCCGCCGCGGGAGUAACGCCCGCCAGUGGGACUGCCGCAGCCACGUCCGCUGUCCCCCGCCACGGCUGCCCGAGCCUCCGGGGCCGGGCCCAUCGGGGCCCAUCGGGGCCCAUCGCGGCCCAUCGCGGCCCCGCCAUCACCGGCCCCGCGCGCCGUUCGCCGCAGCGCCCGCCAGGUGGCGCCCUUGCUCGGCGAGUGGCGUGAGGGCGGGCGGGCCCGAGAAACGCAUCGCGCCCACCCCCCCUGCCCGCCCUGCAAUUUCGGAAGCAUUAUAACUAAAGUGUUUUCAACUUAUUAUUAUGCAUGAGUAAAAAUUCCAUGAAUGUGUAACAUUUUCGCCUGUAUUUCCCUCUUUUAUAACAUCAUUUAAAUUUCUCAUUAAUAAUUUAGCAACGUUCUGGAUUUUAAUCACUUUUCUCAUCCCCGCGGUCUCUAUCCGAGGCAGCGCUCUCCUCUCUACCUGAAGGUGACAUGGAGGCAGGGCUGGAGCCAGGGGCACCCGCCCCAGCGCCCUGUCCGGCUGCAGAGUGUUUCCUUCAUCACUUGAAAAUCCAAAGGUUGCUAAACCCGGGGCUUGAGUAGGUCACCAUUAGGGAAAAUUAAUUUUUUUAUAUUUUUUUAUCUGAGUUUAAUUAUGGUGGUAUUUGUUUGAUAGCUUGUUACUGUAAAUAAAAGAGAUAAAAGCAGCCCUUCACUCGAGCAGAGUUGUGAAAUAUGUACCUAAUUAAAACUAUUGGUGUAAGAGGCUAAUAAAGUACAUGUGCCUACUAGA
This is a long non-coding RNA of Parus major (Great Tit), 2483 nucleotides long. RefSeq lists it as uncharacterized. The record is from RefSeq and is a predicted model, not a curated record. Lineage: Eukaryota; Metazoa; Chordata; Aves; Passeriformes; Paridae. The transcript has 6 exons.